GUGCUUGCUUCAGCAGCACAUAUACCAAAACAGGAACAAUACAGAGAAGUUGAGCAUGGCCCCCACUCAAGGAUGGCACAAAAUCCAUGAAACAUUCCAUAUGUGA
Small nuclear RNA from Microtus ochrogaster (prairie vole), 106 nucleotides. Lineage: Eukaryota; Metazoa; Chordata; Mammalia; Rodentia; Cricetidae. The record is from Ensembl.